Molecule: long non-coding RNA, 811 nt
Filed under: Volvox carteri
Lineage: Eukaryota; Viridiplantae; Chlorophyta; Chlorophyceae; Chlamydomonadales; Volvocaceae
Description: long non-coding RNA (VCAR_LNC003982)
Source: RNAcentral
GCGGUGGCAGUUGUUCCCUCUAGCGACGCGGUGGCAGAUGUUUCCCUCUAGCGACGCAGUGGCAGAUGUUCCCUCUAGCGACGCGGUGGCAGAUGUUCCCUCUAGCGACGCGGUGGCAGAGGUUCCCUCUAGCGACGCGGUGGCAGAUGUUCCCUCUAGCGACGCGGUGGCAGAUGUUCCCUCUAGCGACGCGUGGCAGAUGUUCCCUCUAGCGACGCGGUGGCAGAUGUUCCCUCUAGCGACGCGGUGGCAGAUGUUCCCUCUAGCGACGCGGUGGCAGAGGUCCCCUCUAGCGACGCAGUGGCAGAGGUUCCCUCUAGCGACGCGGUGGCAGAUGUUCCCUCUAGCGACGCAGUGGCAGAUGUUCCCUCUAGCGACGCGGUGGCAGAGGUUCCCUCUAGCGACGUGGUGGCAGAGGUCCCCUCCAGCGACGCAGUGGCAGAUGUUUCCUCUAGCGACACGGUGGCAGAUGUUCCCUCUAGUGGCGUCGGUGGCGGAUGUUCCCUCUAGCGACGCGGUGGCAGAUGUUCCCUCUAGCGACGCGGUGGCGGUUGUUCCCUCUAGCGACGCGGUGGCAGAUGUUCCCCCUAGCGACGCANAACCGAGACACCUAGUGAUGCUGAGGUCGACCACCUUAGCAAUUAGGAGGUAGACCAUGGCGGGUUCUCUAAGCGUGUUACGGAGGCCUUUCCUCUUAGCGUUUCCUUCGGGAGCUGACCCCCCCUAGUGUUUUGGAGGCUGACCCUCCUAGCGAGUGGAGGUGACCCUCCUAGCGAGUUGGAGGUUGAUCCCCCUAGCGGGUUGGAGGCCN